GAAUUCGCCCUUAGAGUUUGAUCCUGGCUCACGACGAACGCUGGCGGCGUGCUUAACACAUGCAAGUCGAGCGGGGACAUCGUCAGAAGGUCUUCCGAUUGGAAGACGUUGUUCUAGCGGCGGACGGGUGAGUAACGCGUGAACAAUCUGUCCCGGACAGGGGGAUAACACUUGGAAACAGGUGCUAAUACCGCAUAAGACCACGGUUUCGCGUGGAGCUGGGGUAAAAGGAGCAAUCCGGUCCGGGGUGAGUUCGCGUCCGAUUAGCUAGUUGGCGAGGUAACGGCCCACCAAGGCGACGAUCGGUAGCCGACCUGAGAGGGUGAUCGGCCACAUUGGAACUGAGAGACGGUCCAAACUCCUACGGGAGGCAGCAGUGGGGAAUAUUGGGCAAUGGGCGAAAGCCUGACCCAGCAACGCCGCGUGAGUGAAGAAGGCUUUCGGGUUGUAAAGCUCUGUUGUUGAGGACGAAGGAAGUGACGGUACUCAACAAGGAAGCCCCGGCUAACUACGUGCCAGCAGCCGCGGUAAUACGUAGGGGGCGAGCGUUGUCCGGAAUGACUGGGCGUAAAGGGCGUGUAGGCGGCCGAUUAAGUCUGGAGUGAAAGUCCUGCUUUCAAGGUGGGAAUUGCUUUGGAGACUGGUUGGCUUGAGUGCGGAAGAGGUAAGUGGAAUUCCCAGUGUAGCGGUGAAAUGCGUAGAGAUUGGGAGGAACACCAGUGGCGAAGGCGACUUACUGGGCCGUAACUGACGCUGAGGCGCGAAAGCGUGGGGAGCGAACAGGAAAAGAUACCCUGGUAGCCCACGCUGUAA
This 813-nucleotide ribosomal RNA is filed under the name uncultured bacterium. Its description in RNAcentral is "bacterial SSU rRNA". It matches the Rfam family "Bacterial small subunit ribosomal RNA", at positions 1 to 805 of the family's 1533-position model. The record is from RNAcentral.